AUUUAAAUAGUUUAAUUAAAAUAUUGAUUUGUGGAGUCAAUGAUAUACGUGAGUAUUUUAAAUA
RNAcentral lists this transfer RNA (64 nucleotides) under Bolboceratex sp. BOL01. RNAcentral's name for it is "tRNA-His". The record is from RNAcentral. Lineage: Eukaryota; Metazoa; Arthropoda; Insecta; Coleoptera; Geotrupidae.